AGUACAGUGUUCUGCCCUGACACAGCCAAGGCCAAGGGCAGUGUAGGCACAGCCACCGUGACUCUCUGCUGGGAGGUUAACAGCUCCAUCAGUUCAGGGACUGCCUGACCCAGCCUGACCAAAUUAGAGCAAGAGAAAGAAUUGUGCCAUGAAAAAUGGAAAACUCCUGAGAAGCUGUUCCAGCGUCAGGAGAGCAGCAGACAAGCUGGACUGGGGAAGAUUCUUCUGCAAGACCUGCAGAGUGUAUGACACAUAACCAGCACCCAAGAAAUGUCUACCGAGGAAUUAAUGAAUGAGGGUCCCAUACUUCCUAGCCAUGCUGUUGGCAGGGAUUAACAUCGUUGCAAUUCUCUGGGUAGACCUUGGGAGGUUUAAACCAACCAGUGACCCCUAUCAUCCUAGCUCCAGAGAUUGGCUUAGGGAUAGUCACCCAAUGCAGGCCAAUGCAAGGUGACUUUGCCAGGGGCUUCUGGGAAAGAAGUUUCCUUUCUCUGAGGAAACGUGAAUGAGGACAUCCAUAACUCAGGUUGUGUCUGGCAGCCAUCUUGUGAUCAUCUGGCAAGACAGCCCAAGAAUAAAGCCGUCACCAUGGAGACUAAGAAGAGACAGAAAGACACUGGGUCUUCAUUGUCUCGUCCAGCUGUUCAUGAGGCCUUAUCUGAAGCCCACGUGACCUCUGGACUUCUCACUUACAUGAGAGAAUAAAGCUCUUUUUUGUUUAGACCAAAUAAAUACAUAAUACAAUUACAUAAUCCCUUGAUUCCUUUUUAUGACUGAGCUCAGAGACUAUAUUUUGUCAUUUUAAAUCACCUUUGUCUUACAGUUUAUUUAACUGAAACAAAUAAACAAACCAAAACACGCCAGUUUUUCACUCCUCUGUCAAAGCCUUUCCAAGAUCACUAAGCUUGUGAUGUCCUGGGUGAAUGAAGAAGUAACAGUGUUUUCAACAACAUAGAAGCUUAUUUCUCUCUCAUAUAAAAGAAGGCUGGAGUCUGGCUGGUAUGGGAGAUACAGCGUCAUCAAAGUUUUAUCUUUUCGUCCUGCCGUCCUUAGAAUAUGGCUUUCAUCUUCAAGAUCACUUCCUAAGCUAUGAGGAUGCAAAGGUAUAAGAAUGACACAGUGGACUUUGGGGACUCGGUGUGGGGAGAAGUUGGGAGGGGUGAGGGAUAAGAGACUACAUAUUGGGUACAGUGUACACUGCUCUAAAAUCUCAGAAAUCACCACUAAAGAACCUAUCCAUGGAAUCAAAAACCACCUAUACCCCCAAAACCACUGAAAUAAAACUAAAAAUUAAUUAAAAAAAAAAAACAGAUAA
Molecule: long non-coding RNA, 1315 nt
Filed under: Pan troglodytes (chimpanzee)
Lineage: Eukaryota; Metazoa; Chordata; Mammalia; Primates; Hominidae
Description: lincRNA
Source: RNAcentral